This 465-nucleotide ribosomal RNA is filed under the name Vreelandella stevensii. Its description in RNAcentral is "partial 16S ribosomal RNA". It matches the Rfam family "Bacterial small subunit ribosomal RNA", at positions 338 to 795 of the family's 1533-position model. Lineage: Bacteria; Pseudomonadati; Pseudomonadota; Gammaproteobacteria; Oceanospirillales; Halomonadaceae. The record is from RNAcentral.
CCUACGGGAGGCUGCAGUGGGGAAUAUUGGACAAUGGGGGGAACCCUGAUCCAGCCAUGCCGCGUGUGUGAAGAAGGCCCUCGGGUUGUAAAGCACUUUCAGUGAGGAAGAACGCCUGGUGGUUAAUACCCAUCAGGAAAGACAUCACUCACAGAAGAAGCACCGGCUAACUCCGUGCCAGCAGCCGCGGUAAUACGGAGGGUGCGAGCGUUAAUCGGAAUUACUGGGCGUAAAGCGCGCGUAGGUGGCUUGAUAAGCCGGUUGUGAAAGCCCCGGGCUCAACCUGGGAACGGCAUCCGGAACUGUCAAGCUAGAGUGCAGGAGAGGAAGGUAGAAUUCCCGGUGUUGCGGUGAAAUGCGUAGAGAUCGGGAGGAAUACCAGUGGCGAAGGCGGCCUUCUGGACUGACACUGACACUGAGGUGCGAAAGCGUGGGUAGCAAACAGGAUUAGAUACCCCUGUAGUC